CUUAAACCGGUUACCUCUGUCAACAGCUGGGUCUCAGUCCCCCAGGGCCUGCCAAGCAACCACGCCGCAGCUCCUCAGAACUAUCCUGGCAAGUGAAAGAAGACAGAGCUUUCACUCCCAAGACUUUCCUCUUCCACAGGGUAAGAGUUAAUUUCAGACUGUGCUGUAAUCUGUGCAAGUUCACCCAAACUGAGCCAAUUCCCAUGGCUUUGGGAACGCCCCAAGGCAGAGAAACUGGAAAACAUCCUGCAGGGUAAGGCCUGAGUACUUGAAAGUCACAGCUAUCUGCACCAGAUCCGGGCACCCAGGAGGUGAAGAGAGACAGAGCCAAGGAAUGCGAUGCUGUGCUCAAGAGGCAUCUGCUACAACCAGCGGACCCCUUAUCUCCUUUGUGUCUACCUCUGAGUUAAUAUUCAGCACUGAGGAAAUCCACCAGUCUUCUUAGGGGACAGCAGGAUCUGCCUUUUCAGGUUAUGGUUGGAAUCCAACAAGUUAAGGUACACCAAGACCUGCAUAACAUGGCCUCACAGGUCAUCUACUGGGACAGGUUUCAUAAGAAAGAAAACAAAUCAGCUCUCAUUGAUGACAC
Molecule: long non-coding RNA, 589 nt
Filed under: Chinchilla lanigera (long-tailed chinchilla)
Lineage: Eukaryota; Metazoa; Chordata; Mammalia; Rodentia; Chinchillidae
Description: lncRNA (ENSCLAG00000024429.1)
Source: RNAcentral